RNAcentral lists this ribosomal RNA (506 nucleotides) under uncultured bacterium. Its description in RNAcentral is "partial 16S ribosomal RNA". It matches the Rfam family "Bacterial small subunit ribosomal RNA", at positions 29 to 523 of the family's 1533-position model. The record is from RNAcentral.
AUUGAACGCUGGCGGCAGGCCUAACACAUGCAAGUCGGACGGUAGCACAGAGGAGCUUGCUCCUCGGGUGACGAGUGGCGGACGGGUGAGUAAUGUCUGGGGAUCUGCCCGAUAGAGGGGGAUAACCACUGGAAACGGUGGCUAAUACCGCAUAACGUCGCAAGACCAAAGAGGGGGACCUUCGGGCCUCUCACUAUCGGAUGAACCCAGAUGGGAUUAGCUAGUAGGCGGGGUAACGGCCCACCUAGGCGACGAUCCCUAGCUGGUCUGAGAGGAUGACCAGCCACACUGGAACUGAGACACGGUCCAGACUCCUACGGGAGGCAGCAGUGGGGAAUAUUGCACAAUGGGCGCAAGCCUGAUGCAGCCAUGCCGCGUGUAUGAAGAAGGCCUUCGGGUUGUAAAGUACUUUCAGCGGGGAGGAAGGCGAUGUGGUUAAUAACCGCAUUGAUUGACGUUACCCGCAGAAUAAGCACCGGCUAACUACGUGCCAGCCGCCGCGGUAA